GCCGCGGGACGGAAGCGAGCGGGCGCGGGCGCCGCGCAGAUGGCCGGGGCGAGCGAGGUCUGAGGCUCCGCUCCCCGAAACGUGACCAUGUGGAUUCAACAGCUUUUAGGACUCAGUUCCAUGUCCAUCCGCUGGCCGGGCCGCUCCCUAGGAAGCCAUGCUUGGAUACUUAUAGCCAUGUUUCAGCUCGCCAUGGAUCUGCCGUCGUGUGAGUCCCUGGGCCCGGGCCCCGACUUCCGGCUCCUGCCCCGGCCACCGCAGCGGCCGCCCCGGCUGUGGAGUCUGAAGAGCGGACAGGCGGCGCGCAUCCCCGUGCCCGUGUGGAGCCCGCGCCCGGCGCGCGUGGAGCGCAGCCACGGGCAGAUGCCCAGCCCGCGCGCUAAGCGGGCGCACAGACCCAGGGACCAGGUGGCCGCCCUGGUGCCCCGAGGGGGGCUCGCCAAGCCCCCGGCCGCCGCCAAAUCCAGCCCUUCCCUCGGCUCCUCCUCCUCGUCCCCGUCCCCCACGGCGGGCGGCGGGGCAGCCACGGACCGGCAGGCCCUCCUGCGGCGGGGAAAGAGGCACCUGCAGGGGGCCGCCUUCAACACCUUUGACUUCCGCGGCAGCAGGCCCACCACGGAGACGGAGUUCAUCGCCUGGGGGCCCACGGGGGAGGAGGAGGCCCCAGAGUCCAACACGUUUCCGGGGCUUUACGGCCCCACCACGGCCUCCAUCUCACAGACACGGAAGACAACUGUGGCCACCGCCACCACCACCACCACAGCCACCAUGGCCACCUCCACGACGCUGCAGACUAAGGGGGUCACGGAGCCCCUGGGCCCCAGGAAUAGGAUCCCGGUUGGGGUUAGCACAACGGAGCCUUCCACCAGUCCCAGCAGAGACGAUGGUGAAGACGUCAAGCCCCCGCGGAUCCUGGGGGAGACCUCAGGUCUGGCUGUUCAUCAGAUUAUCACCAUCACUGUCUCCCUCAUCAUGGUCAUAGCUGCUCUGAUUACAACUCUUGUCUUAAAAAACUGCUGUGCCCAAAGCGGGAACACGCGUAGGAAUAGCCACCAGCGGAAGAUCAACCAGCAGGAGGAAAGCUGCCAGAACCUGACGGACUUCACCCCUGCCCGGGUGCCCAGCAGCCUGGACAUAUUCACGGCCUAUAACGAGACCCUCCAGUGCUCUCACGAGUGUGUCCGGGCGUCUGUGCCCGUGUACACCGACGAGACGCUGCACCCGACCGGGGAGUACAAAUCCACGUUUAACGGGAACCGACCCUCUUCUUCUGAUCGACAUCUUAUUCCUGUGGCCUUUGUGUCUGAGAAAUGGUUUGAGAUCUCCUGCUGACUGGCCGAAGUCUUGUUUACCUCCUGGGGGCAGGGCAGACGCCAUGUGUCUGUUUUAUGGAUUCCGUUGGUGAACCUGUAAAAAAAAAAAAAAAAAAAAAAUUUAAAUUAAAAAAAAACAACAACAACAACCACACACACAAAACCUAAAACUAAACUUUCUACGGGGAGGGUCCCCAUACCUACCGCUUCAGUUUGCCGGUGGGGAGCUCAAAGAGCAGGACGCUAUAGGCCAAAUAUAUUUUUAUAAAAAUGCUCACGCCUAUGGGGGACUGCCUUCUGCCAGAGUUUUCUUUGGAGAACAGAAAGAAGAAAAGCAAGAAAGAAGCUGGAGACAGAGAAGGCCAGCAGGAAGCACCUGAAGCCUGGGAUUUGUACUGAUUCUGAACCUGUGCCAAUAAUACCAUUAUGUGCCAUGUACUGACCCGAAAGACUUGGUGACCAAGCCGAAGCCAAGCGAACCACGCGUAGAAAUCUUACAGAAAAUGGGGGGUGGGAAUCUUCCAAUAGAGUCGCUAUUUCUGGUUAAUAUACAUAUAUAAAUAUAUAAAUACACACAGACACACACACACACUUUUUUUGUACUGUAGCAAUUUUUGAAUAUCUUCAAUGUUCCUUUUUAAAAAAAUGUUAUCGGUUACAAAAUCUGAUUUAUUUAACAUGCUUAGUAUGAACAGAAUAAACUGGUGUUUUCUACUUUGGCAACAUAUCGCACACACAGGCACACACAUGCACACAUACCCACACACAAACACGUACACGCAUAUAUAUGCAUCUAUUGGAAAUGCAGUUCCACGAGUGAGCACAUUCCUUCUGGUGACCUGGUAUCCCAUUGCCAUCCAUCCGGGGGAUAGCCUGGACCCACGCAGACAGACCCCUCAAUGACACAUCCUGCAUUUGCUGGUAUUUGGUGAGUGGCACUAGAUGUAUAAUUUAUUAUCUUGGGCCAGAAUUAAGAAUGCCAUGGUUUUAUAUACAUACAUAUAUAUAGAGAGACACAUAAAUACGAUCUUUUUUCAUCUAAUUGUUUGAAGAAGCUACCUAACAGCCACGCACACAUUUAUGUAGCCAGCUGCUUACAAAUGGGGCUGAGCGUCAGAUUGGGUGGGUGGUGGAUUCCUGACCAUCUUUGUGUUAUACAAGCAUAGACCGAAUUAAAGAAAAUUUUCCAGUUCCAAAAAUUA
Nyctereutes procyonoides (raccoon dog) is the source of this 2515-nucleotide RNA transcript. It is a transcript of the gene named adherens junctions associated protein 1, with no coding region annotated. The transcript is spliced from 6 exons. The record is from RefSeq and is a predicted model, not a curated record. NCBI's taxonomy places the organism in Eukaryota, Metazoa, Chordata, Mammalia, Carnivora, Canidae.